CAGUCGCCGCGGUAAUACGAAGGGUGCAAGCGUUAAUCGGAAUUACUGGGCGUAAAGCGUGCGUAGGCGGUUUGUUAAGUCUGUUGUGAAAUCCCCGGGCUCAACCUGGGAAUGGCAAUGGAUACUGGCAAGCUAGAGUGUGUCAGAGGAUGGUGGAAUUCCCGGUGUAGCGGUGAAAUGCGUAGAGAUCGAGAGGAACAUCAGUGGCGAAGGCGGCCAUCUGGGACAACACUGACGCUGAGGCACGAAAGCGUGGGGAGCAAACAGGAUUAGAUACCCCAGUAGUCCCUGUCUCUUAUAC
This 301-nucleotide ribosomal RNA is filed under the name uncultured bacterium. RNAcentral describes it as "partial 16S ribosomal RNA". It matches the Rfam family "Bacterial small subunit ribosomal RNA", at positions 509 to 807 of the family's 1533-position model. The record is from RNAcentral.